AGCAGCCGCGGUAAUUCCAGCUCCAAUAGCGUAUAUUAAAGUUGUUGCAGUUAAAAAGCUCGUAGUUGAACUUCGGGGUCUACCCAUUGGUCAGGCUUAAUUGUCUGCACUGGUGAGAUGGAUCUCUACCUUCUGAGGAACUUUCAUGCCAUUUAUUUGGUGUGAUGGGAAAUCAGGACUGUUACUUUGAAAAAAUUGAGUGUUUAAAGCUAGACUAUCGUCUGAAUACAUUAGCAUGGAAUAAUGAAAUAGGACGGACUGAUUCUAAUUUCGUUGGUUUCUAGGAUCACCGUAAUGAUUAAUAGGGAUAGUUGGGGGCAUUAGUAUUCAAUUGUCAGAGGUGAAAUUCUUGGAUUUAUUGAAGACUAACUACUGCGAAAGCAUUUGCCAAGGAUGUUACUCAUUAAUCAAGAACGAAAGUUAGGGGAUCGAAGACGAUCAGAUACCGUCGUAGUCUUAAACCAUAAACUAUGUCCGACUAGGGAUCGGACGAAGUUAAUUUAUAAUGUACG
Molecule: ribosomal RNA, 512 nt
Filed under: uncultured Diversispora
Lineage: Eukaryota; Fungi; Glomeromycota; Glomeromycetes; Diversisporales; Diversisporaceae
Description: SSU rRNA
Rfam family: Eukaryotic small subunit ribosomal RNA
Source: RNAcentral